CGGGGAGGGAGGGGAGGGAGAGAGGAAGAAGGGGUGAGAGGGAGAAACCUGCCGCCGCUCGCCGCCUCUUUGUCUGCUCCGGGACUUGGAACAAAAGGGGGAACUCUGAUGAACUCUCUUCCCUCCCUUCUCCCCCGGACGCUCGGGCAUCUCCCUCUCGCAACUUUGCAGCCGCGACUUUCUCUGCUGUCAGGCCACGGGGAAGUGUCCGAGCGCCUCGCGGACCGCAACAAGGGAAACGCCUCUGAAAAGUGCGACCAAGUGGGGAAGAAGACUGUUUUGCUGUCUGGAAACUCAUGCCCACCUCUGACUUCCCGCACAGUGUGACUGCAAGAGGAGAGUCAAAAUCGCUUCCCCCACAGUGUGACUUCCAGAGUUGUUAGACAUUGGGAUGUCCUUCUGAGGUGGGCUGUGGAAUGCCAUGUAAGUUUUUACUUUUUUUUUUCUGAAUGUGAUAGAUUUUCAGGUGCAGUAGGGAUGGCUUAG
Molecule: long non-coding RNA, 486 nt
Filed under: Microcebus murinus (gray mouse lemur)
Lineage: Eukaryota; Metazoa; Chordata; Mammalia; Primates; Cheirogaleidae
Description: lncRNA (ENSMICG00000048650.1)
Source: RNAcentral